CCUACGGGCGGCUGCAGUGAGGAAUAUUGGUCAAUGGACGAGAGUCUGAACCAGCCAAGUAGCGUGAAGGAUGACUGCCCUACGGGUUGUAAACUUCUUUUAUAUGGGAAUAAAACAGGGUAUGCAUACCCUCUUGUAUGUACAAUAUCAAUAAGGAUCGGCUAACUCCGUGCCAGCAGCCGCGGUAAUAUGGAGGGUCCGCGCGUUAUCCGGAUUUAUUGGGUUUAAAGGGAGCGUAGGUGGCUUGUUAAGUCAGUUGUGAAAGUUUGCGGCUCAACCGUAGAAUUGCAGUUGAAACUGGCAGUCUUGAGUGCAGUAGGGGUUGGCGGAAUUCGUGGUGUAGCGGUGAAAUGCUUAGAUAUCACGAAGAACUCCGAUUGCGAAGGCAGCUCACUGGACUGCAACUGACGCUGAGGCUCGAAAGUGUGGGUAUCAAACAGGAUUAGAUACCCUGGUAGUC
RNAcentral lists this ribosomal RNA (460 nucleotides) under uncultured bacterium. Its description in RNAcentral is "partial 16S ribosomal RNA". It matches the Rfam family "Bacterial small subunit ribosomal RNA", at positions 338 to 795 of the family's 1533-position model. The record is from RNAcentral.